CAGUGCGAAAAGAGGCAAUUUCAAAGCUGCGUUGUGCUCGCACAAAAGCAGAUUUGAAACUGCCUCUUUUCAUAGGGCGAAGCCCGUGAGCGAGAUGGAGCGAAGCGGAAUCGAGCGGCACUG
RNAcentral lists this small RNA (123 nucleotides) under Cuneatibacter caecimuris. RNAcentral's name for it is "Clostridiales-1 RNA". Lineage: Bacteria; Bacillati; Bacillota; Clostridia; Lachnospirales; Lachnospiraceae. The record is from RNAcentral.